This 208-nucleotide ribosomal RNA is filed under the name uncultured bacterium. Its description in RNAcentral is "partial 16S ribosomal RNA". It matches the Rfam family "Bacterial small subunit ribosomal RNA", at positions 567 to 774 of the family's 1533-position model. The record is from RNAcentral.
GCUCGUAGGUGGUUCGUCGCGUCCGGUGUGAAAGUCCAUCGCUUAACGGUGGAUCCGCGCCGGGUACGGGCGGGCUUGAGUGCGGUAGGGGAGACUGGAAUUCCCGGUGUAACGGUGGAAUGUGUAGAUAUCGGGAAGAACACCAAUGGCGAAGGCAGGUCUCUGGGCCGUUACUGACGCUGAGGAGCGAAAGCGUGGGGAGCGAACA